GCCGGGUGUGGUGGCGGGCACCUGUAAUCCCAGCUACUCAGGAGGCUGAGGCAGGAGAAUUGCUUGAACCCAGGAGGCAGAGGUUGCAGUGAGCUGAGAUCACACCACUGCACUCCAGCCUGGGUGACAGAGCAAGACUCUGUCUCAA
Molecule: signal recognition particle RNA, 148 nt
Filed under: Gorilla gorilla gorilla (western lowland gorilla)
Lineage: Eukaryota; Metazoa; Chordata; Mammalia; Primates; Hominidae
Description: Metazoan signal recognition particle RNA
Rfam family: Metazoan signal recognition particle RNA
About the family: The signal recognition particle (SRP) is a universally conserved ribonucleoprotein. It is involved in the co-translational targeting of proteins to membranes.
Source: Rfam by way of RNAcentral